RNAcentral lists this ribosomal RNA (281 nucleotides) under uncultured Ascomycota. RNAcentral describes it as "partial 18S ribosomal RNA". It matches the Rfam family "Eukaryotic small subunit ribosomal RNA", at positions 548 to 834 of the family's 1831-position model. The record is from RNAcentral. Lineage: Eukaryota; Fungi; Ascomycota.
UUGGAGGGCAAGUCUGGUGCCCGCAGCCGCGGUAAUUCCAGCUCCAAUAGCGUAUAUUAAAGUUGUUGCAGUUAAAAACGCUCGUAGUUGAACCUUGGGUCUGGCUGGCCGGUCCGCCUCACCGCGAGUACUGGUCCGGCUGGACCUUUCCUUCUGGGGAACCUCAUGGCCUUCACUGGCUGUGGGGGGAACCAGGACUUUUACUGUGAAAAAACUUAGAGUGUUCAAAGCAGGCCUUUGCUCGAAUACAUUAGCAUGGAAUAAUAGAAUAGGACGUGCGG